AUACUUACCUGGCAGGGGAGAUACCAUGAUCACGAAGGUGAUUUUCCCAGGGCGAGGCUUAUCCAUUGCACUCCGGAUGUGCUGACCCCUGCGAUUUCCCCAAAUGUGGGAAACUCGACUGCAUAAUUUGUGGUAGUGGGGGACUGCGUUCGCGUUAAU
RNAcentral lists this small nuclear RNA (159 nucleotides) under Rhinopithecus roxellana (golden snub-nosed monkey). RNAcentral describes it as "U1 spliceosomal RNA (ENSRROG00000002472.1)". It matches the Rfam family "U1 spliceosomal RNA". Rfam says of the family: U1 is a small nuclear RNA (snRNA) component of the spliceosome (involved in pre-mRNA splicing). Its 5' end forms complementary base pairs with the 5' splice junction, thus defining the 5' donor site of an intron. There are significant differences in sequence and secondary structure between metazoan and yeast U1 snRNAs, the latter being much longer (568 nucleotides as compared to 164 nucleotides in human). The record is from RNAcentral. Lineage: Eukaryota; Metazoa; Chordata; Mammalia; Primates; Cercopithecidae.